RNAcentral lists this ribosomal RNA (253 nucleotides) under uncultured bacterium. RNAcentral's name for it is "partial 16S ribosomal RNA". It matches the Rfam family "Bacterial small subunit ribosomal RNA", at positions 524 to 776 of the family's 1533-position model. The record is from RNAcentral.
UACGGAGGAUGCAAGCGUUAUCCGGAAUGAUUGGGCGUAAAGCGUCCGCAGGUGGCGAUGUAAGUCUGCUGUUAAAGAGUCUAGCUCAACUAGAUAAGAGCAGUGGAAACUACAUAGCUAGAGUACGUUCGGGGCAGAGGGAAUUCCUGGUGUAGCGGUGAAAUGCGUAGAGAUCAGGAAGAACACCAGUGGCGAAGGCGCUCUGCUAGGCCGUAACUGACACUGAGGGACGAAAGCUAGGGGAGCGAGUGGG